AUUUCCGUACCGGAGGAAAUGGGAUUCGAACCCAUGAUACAAUCUUCUUGUAUGUCGAUUUAGCAAACCAAUGCCUUAAGCCACUCAGCCAUACCUCCAAGUUGUUGAUCGGAAUGGAAUUGGAUGUGCCGGGUUUGGUUGCUUGCCCGAAGGAAGGGCUAUCUGAGAAAAGGUCACAAAUAGAGUUGAACCAAGUAACAUUGCAAAGGCAUAAUGAUAGUAGGGUCGGGAUAUCCCCGCCCUCCGAACCGGCAACGAAGUUCUUAAAUGACUAGAUUCUCCCGGAACGCUAGCUAAGCUAAUCGUCUUAGUUCCCUUCAAUUAAAUCAAUAAGCUUUUUGAUUGAUUCAGGGCGCCGCCCCCCUUCUUAGAAUUAGAACCCAUUGAGGGGGGCCUCGGCCCGGGAAGGGGAGAGUGGC
Molecule: transfer RNA, 419 nt
Filed under: Solanum lycopersicum (tomato)
Lineage: Eukaryota; Viridiplantae; Streptophyta; Magnoliopsida; Solanales; Solanaceae
Description: partial TCONS_00175958
Source: RNAcentral